Molecule: ribosomal RNA, 326 nt
Filed under: uncultured eukaryote
Lineage: Eukaryota
Description: partial 18S ribosomal RNA
Rfam family: Eukaryotic small subunit ribosomal RNA
Source: RNAcentral
CCCUUAGAUGUUCUGGGCCACACGCGCGCUACACUGAUGCAUUCAACAAGCCUAGCCUUGACCGAGAGGUCCGGGUAAUCUUUGAAACUGCAUCGUGAUGGGGCUAGAUUAUUGCAAUUAUUAAUCUUCAACGAGGAAUGCCUAGUAAGCGUGAUUCAUCAAAUCGCGUUGAUUACGUCCCUGCCCUUUGUACACACCGCCCGUCGCUCCUACCGAUUGAAUGUGUUGGUGAGGAGCUCGGAUUGGCAGCAGUUGGUGGUUCGCCACCGGCUAUUGCUGAGAAGUCCUCCAAACCGCCCCAUUUAGAGGAAGGAGAAGUCGUANCA